RNAcentral lists this long non-coding RNA (711 nucleotides) under Populus tremula. RNAcentral's name for it is "long non-coding RNA (PTRE_LNC001188)". The record is from RNAcentral. Lineage: Eukaryota; Viridiplantae; Streptophyta; Magnoliopsida; Malpighiales; Salicaceae.
UAUUGAGCUAUUUGAGGAAAUUAAGUUCAUAUGCAGGUUUGAGAAAAAAGGUUGAAAUUCAAAACAUAAUUGCUUAGAAUGUUGGAGUGGUGGGAUUUUACAUGAAAAUGACCCCAUGAAGAUUCACAAGUAUUUUGUUUGUUGAAUAUAUAACGUGAAAAUCCUUAUUUUUCAGUGGUCCUGUGUCCAUCUCCUCUCAAAAGCUAGCUCGAGGGACGAGGCUCUCUCUUACACUUACAAACUCCUUCAUAAGCUCCUUCCUCGGCUGUUAUCGGACAACCUCAGCAACCUCUCCUUGGGCCUUCGAUCGGAGCCGCGACAACUCAUUUCUCAGCCUGACUGUAGGGUAUAGACUCGGCGGUAAACCUAGCCAGCCUCCAUUGCAGGGUCCAAACUUGGUGGUAAAUAUGUGCUCCGAUACUAUUCGUUAAAGAUCUUCCUUAACAGAUGGGAGAGUUUGAAAAGAAAUCGAGAGAGAAUUAACAUAUUGUACUGCUAAAUUGUUUCAUUUUUAUUGCUUCUCCCCUUAAGCUUCUCUAUACCAGGAUUGUUAUUUUUACACCAAAACAAACAAUCGCAUGCCUAGGCCUUAGAAAACUCAUAUUUCGAUAUACAAGUGACGUUUUUUUUCUGAAGAAAAUACUGUAUAAUUCCUUGUUUUUAUUAGAUGUUAGAAUAUAAUAUAUUUUUGGAAAAAUAGAAUAAAAACCC